UACGUAGGGUGCGAGCGUUGUCCGGAAUUAUUGGGCGUAAAGAGCUCGUAGGCGGUCUGUCGCGUCGAUCGUGAAAACUUGGGGCUUAACCCUGAGCUUGCGGGCGAUACGGGCAGACUGGAGUACUGCAGGGGAGACUGGAAUUCCUGGUGUAGCGGUGGAAUGCGCAGAUAUCAGGAGGAACACCGGUGGCGAAGGCGGGUCUCUGGGCAGCAACUGACGCUGAGGAGCGAAAGCAUGGGGAGCGAACAGG
This 253-nucleotide ribosomal RNA is filed under the name uncultured bacterium. Its description in RNAcentral is "partial 16S ribosomal RNA". It matches the Rfam family "Bacterial small subunit ribosomal RNA", at positions 524 to 776 of the family's 1533-position model. The record is from RNAcentral.